CGCCGCCGUUCCGAGUUGGGGGGUUUCUGUGUUGUGGGUCCGGGAAGAAGCGAGCGUGGAAAGGUGCCGGGUUCUCGAACGCUGUUUCUGUCCACUGCCACCCUCCUCCCCGUUCUGGGAGUGGGAUUAAGUCGUGUCUGUGGGUCUGGCCAUCUCCGGAGUCUGCAGCUUGGGGCCGAUUCCUCGGUCUCUACCUCCUGUUGCAGGUCUUUUUCGGGCUCUGUGGCUUCUUUGGUUCACGCGUCUCCCGACACGCAUACGCACAGUCCUGAACGAUUUCCAGACCAGACUUUAGGCAAAGAAAGAACAGACUUCAAGCAAACUUUUCUCUACUGAAUAGGAUUAUAUAUUUUAUCACCUUGUGAAGAAUUUCAUCAGAAACAACAUCUCAUUGCAUAUUUGCAUCUUUUCUUGAAAAUUCCUCAAAUAUAUCUAUUGUGGGCAAUUACAUGAAUUCAUCUUUAUUUUUUGGCUACUUAUGCUUACACAGAACUGAUACUCAAAGCCAAUGUGAGAAUUAGAACUCACAAAAAUGAUCACUUUUUUGAAAGGUCCUUAAUCAUUCAACAGAGACAUAAUAACUUUAUUGGAUGGAGCAAUACUUCUUGCUAAUCAGCAUAUACACACCCAGUGACCUUGCAUGAAGAAGCAGCCUGUCUGCAGAAGAUUGCAUCUCAUCUAUACAAAGCAGGAGUGAUGUUGUCAAUGUGUGUGUGUGCAUGCAUUUAUGUAUCUGUAUGCUUGUGCAGAGAGGGGAAGAUGGGGGAGGGGAUGUGGCUUUGUUACUUAGCUUGCUUGAUUUUUAUCCACAGUUAUUAAGAGGUAAAACAUUGUAGCUCAACCCCUAGAAGUGGUCGUUUGCUUUACAGAGAGGAAAAUCUCUGCCCCCUUACCAUGGCUUGCAUUUCCAGCCCCAAAAGGCAAAAACAGGGAGCACGUAACUCAGUGGAAUCAAUAGCACGACCAGAAAGUCAAUUCAGUCAUAUGAUGGUGGAUCAGUAUCAUCAUUGUAAAGGAGAGGAGAUCACUGUACUGUCAGAUGCAUCACUCUGACUUUCCCCCAUCACUGUGGAAAAAGGAGGGAAAAAAGCCUUCAAUCAUAAUAGGAAAGGUAAACAGUUUUUCAAACUUACAAACAUAUGUACAUGUCUUCCUCUGUAUCAUUUCAUGUAUGUUGUUUUUAUGUAUGUACCUGUACAAAAAGAUGUAAAUAUCACUUAACCUUGAGUAAUAUAAUAAUACAUGUGAAUUCUAAUUUUAGUUCCACUAAGUAUUAAUAAUUAAUGGUAACUUCGUUGAGUGUGAGAAUUCCACAAGGUUGCGUUAGAAUUCUGAAUGACAUUUUGUUUUUGCUUUAUUGGGCUUUGAUAUGUCAGACAAGAGAAUUCAACUUUUCUCCUGUGUGAAUGAAUUCAAUAGUCUGUUGAGAGAGAUGCCAGUUUUUAGGUUGCAUCCACCAUUUUUAUUUUUAGCUCCAUCUGUUGUCUUUAAUCAAGUUGCUGUUAAAACUCUGAUAAAAUACUUGGUUUGUAGCAUUGGUAUUGUCCCCACCAGCUUCCCUAAAAUGAGCGCUCCGAUUCUAAUCCCCAAAGAUGUUUGAAUUUGUCUCCAGUUGACAUCCAAAAGUCUCAUCUUCCUGGAUUUCCUUCCUCCUCUUGCCCCCUCUGCCCUUUCCCACUAUCCCAGUUCCUAGCAUCUCCCUGACCCUUGGGUUAGAGCCCAGGGAGAUGGACCACUGAAUCCAACCUGGGAAAAUGACAGGAAGUACGUGCAUUCUUCAAAGUGAGGCAUUUGCUGUUAUUGAGCAUCUAUUUUAACAUAACUCAGAUGCAGUGGUAUUAAUUUGUAUAUGAAUAUUUCAUUUAAUAAUAAUGAUUGAGACUGUCCUCUAUAUCAGAGGUAAGCAUAUACAGUACAGCCUGUUCUUUAACUCCUUUUUCCUCACCUGACUCAAUUUUCUGUUGAUUAAAUGUUAGACUGAGAAUGAAAGUAUACUUGUUAGAUUUGGCUACUUAUUGAAAGCUGCAGUUUUGGCUAGGCAUAGUGUGGCUUAUACCUGUAAUCCCAGCACACUGGAAGGCUGAGG
This 2086-nucleotide long non-coding RNA is filed under the name Homo sapiens (human). RNAcentral's name for it is "HSALNT0316729". Lineage: Eukaryota; Metazoa; Chordata; Mammalia; Primates; Hominidae. The record is from RNAcentral.